UCAUUUUUAUUGACUCUAUUUUCAGGACGCACUGCAGAGGAUGUAAACGAAUGCUUAGGCUUUAAUUUAGGAGCUACUGUCACUGCAGAUACUGCAGAAGCCAAAGCGCAUAUUAAAGCUAACCAAUGUAAAGCCAGUGGAUUUCAAAACGUUGAUGAAGUGAAACGGAGUGGGAUUAUCCAAGAUAUAGUCUCUAUGGUUCAAGGUGGGACAACAGCUGCCUUAACCAAGUUGAACGAGUUGCUUUCAUCAAAUGUAAGGCUAAUUGAUGUAGAAAACUAUGUCGAAUGGGCUGCUACACUACCUCAAGCUCCCGCAGUGAUAAGACAAGAGUUAACCUCAAUCUCGGAACUUGUACCGCUGAAAAUCCCAGACUCUCGAAAAAA
Molecule: non-coding RNA, 386 nt
Organism: Thamnophis sirtalis
Lineage: Eukaryota; Metazoa; Chordata; Lepidosauria; Squamata; Natricidae
Source: RefSeq, a predicted model, not a curated record